AUUGAACGCUGGCGGCAGGCCUAACACAUGCAAGUCGAGCGGAGCGGCGGACGGGGGAUUAAUGCCUAGGAAUCUGCCUGGUAGUGGGGGCUAACUUCCGGAAACGGGCGCUAAUACCGCAUACUAUAAGAUGAGCUUAGGUUGGAUUAGCUAGUUGGUGGGGUAAAGGCCUACCAAGGCGACGAUCAGUCGCCGGGCUGAGAGGACGAUCCGCAACACUGGGACUGAGACACGGCCCAGACUCCUACGGGAGGCAGCAGUGGGGAAUUUUGGACAAUGGGGGCAACCCUGAUCCAGCCAUGCCGCGUGUAUGAAGAAGGCCUUCGGGUUGUAAAGUACUUUUGUUAGGGAAGCGGUAUCUAAAGAAUAAGCACCGGCUAACUACGUGCCAGCAGCCGCGGUAAUUC
RNAcentral lists this ribosomal RNA (407 nucleotides) under uncultured bacterium. RNAcentral's name for it is "partial 16S ribosomal RNA". It matches the Rfam family "Bacterial small subunit ribosomal RNA", at positions 30 to 526 of the family's 1533-position model. The record is from RNAcentral.